GGCCCUGUUUUUUCUGUAAUGGCCUUGUUUUUCUGUAAUGGCCCUGUUUUUUCUGUAAUGGCCCUGUUUUUCUGUAAUGGCCCUGUAUUAAUGCCCAGUUUGUCUGUAUUAAACCCUGUUAGGAUUUUUAAUAAAGUUAAUAAAACUACGUUGUAAAGAGUAUACUAGUAAUACCUUUUUGUAUUUUAUUUAAUUUAGUAACCAGCAACCAACAUUAAAGAACCAUAUAAAGGGAUCACUGUUCAUCCUGUUUUUUAACACAUAUCUCUUUCAACUUAAUAUCUUGGAUAUUUGGUAUAUUUAAAGCUUUAUAAUGG
RNAcentral lists this long non-coding RNA (317 nucleotides) under Mytilus galloprovincialis (Mediterranean mussel). Lineage: Eukaryota; Metazoa; Mollusca; Bivalvia; Mytilida; Mytilidae. The record is from RNAcentral.